UGUUAUUGAGAAUACGGAAACAGAGUUUAUUGUCGCAACCUACGGAUAUAGUUGUAGUUGUUCUGAAAGUCACUUGUUGAUCGAUUUUCAUCAUUUAGUGCUUUCGUUUCCAUAUAAACAAAAAUAACUGGAACCUGCUAUUAACACUGAUUCAUAGAUUAACUGUCUGGAGGUCUCUUUUUUUUAAAAAGACUUUGCUUUGUGUUCUUUCACGCGACGACCUCUACGGAUCAUCUACUUAACCACAGGGAUAUUCUGCGGUUUCCGAAUAAAAAGAUGUAAUAGAAAAAAACCAACUGAUCCUGACAGUUAGCUAAACCACAAUGGAAAACAUCGAGGGAAAAAAGGCUGGGAAAAUGGAAGUUUCCACAGGGUCGUGCUCGGUGCCUUCAAUUCAGUCCUGUUCACCUGGGAGCAUCAGUUCAAGGUCAGAGAGGACGAAUGUUCCAAAGUAAACAAAGGAAAUGCACAAGUGUGUUAACAGACAGAUUCUUGGGGAAGGAACGAAGUUGGGUGAUAGAUUUCUUAUUGUGCCUAUUUUCGUAUUGAAGUUUUUAUUUUGGGAGAUUAAAACAAAUUAGCUUAAUGGUGCGUCUCUUCUUAUUGUGUAACAUCGGGACAAAUAUAUUGCCAUUGUCAAAUGGUUACAUAACCAUGAUUGGUUUGUAAAUUUAUUUUGCAUUCACUUGAAGAGAUUAUGUAAUUCAUUUGAAAGCAGAUGACGCUUUCUUAGUGACACAUGUUUGGUGAUCUCAAGGAUCCUAAUAACCAUCAAAACUGUAGAUAGAUGUGCUUUUUGCGGAUGCUGAGAUGAACACCUUACAAACUGCUAUGAUUUCACCGCAAUUCUUGCCUGUGACAAGAGUAUUCAGUUGAAGAAAAUUUUAGCAUGUGUUCGGAGUUACAAAGUUGCAUUGUAGCCCUAUUCUUUAAUUAUCCAUAUGAUAAUGAAGUUAAUACCAAGAAGAAUUAAAAAAACACUUCCUAUUUUUGACCAAAAAUUUAAUCUCUGAAAUGUUCGAGUUAACUUGACUCAGCUUAAAAAUGCAGAACAAAGACCUGAAGUCACCUCGUGGACUGAUAUCGUUUUUGUUUGGAAAUGAUUUGAACACACAUGAGCUCUUUGCAGAUAUCCACUCAAGUGUCAGUGAGAACGCCUUUCAAACUGCUAGGAUUUCACCGGAAGUCACGUCACACGUGUUCUCAGUUGAAGAAAAUUUAGCACGCUUUCGAAGUUACAAAGUUUCAUUGCAGCCCUAUUCUACAACUAUCGCCAUAACGACGAUGUAAUACCAAGAAGAAUUGGAAAAAAAAUACUGCUCAGUUCUGUGACAAAAGUUGUUCCCUGAAAUAUUCGAAUUAACCUA
Long non-coding RNA from Stylophora pistillata, 1367 nucleotides. RefSeq lists it as uncharacterized. The record is from RefSeq and is a predicted model, not a curated record. NCBI's taxonomy places the organism in Eukaryota, Metazoa, Cnidaria, Anthozoa, Scleractinia, Pocilloporidae.